RNAcentral lists this long non-coding RNA (745 nucleotides) under Homo sapiens (human). RNAcentral's name for it is "HSALNT0244726". The record is from RNAcentral. Lineage: Eukaryota; Metazoa; Chordata; Mammalia; Primates; Hominidae.
AUUGAAGUAGGCCAAUGGGCAGGCUUUUCAGGGUGGUGGGAGAAGAGGUACAAGGAAGCUUUCUGGCUUCCUUUUUGUAUGUGUUCCUGUUGAAUGCCGGUGACUUUGACUUCUUUUCUGUUGCUACUGAAACAGAAUAAGUGAGGUUCCGAGAUGGUAUCUGGAUGAUGAACACAGAGAGAGCUUCCAUUGUUCCUCUUCUCCUUUGUGCAGAGGAAGCCGUUGGCUGAGUUCAGAAAAAUGUUAAGUGCAUAUCCCGGACCAGUUUGGGUCUCCAGACUGAAUGAAGCCAGUCAGCUGGGAUUCUGGUUGAGUCUCAGACUCAGAAGAAACUUGUGGGAUUAAGUGGUUUUUCUGGAAAAUAUUGGCUGAAAACCACAUUCACCCCAAAUUGCUGUGUGAAUGAAACACAUGGGUUUUCUUUGUGUUUUAAAUAAUUCCAGUGGUGGCCUCAAGCUUCUAUUUCCCUGUGUUUUUAUGGAGUUAACCAAAAUAGCUUUGUACAAAUAACAAAAAGUAUGAAAAAGUAUAUGCACCUUGUCAUUGCUUUGCCAAUUGGAAAUACUCUUAAGACAUAUGAACAACAAUAAAAAGCUGUGGCUUCAGCUUUUAAAAUGCUGAAGACAUGGCUUAUUGCAGAAUCUCUGUCUUAUAUUUGGUUACUUUUCAGUUUUUUUAUUUGCCUAUUUCAAGCAUGACAUUUUUCUACUUCUCACAUAGAAAGUAUUCAGUUAUAGUCUUCAAA